RNAcentral lists this unclassified non-coding RNA (263 nucleotides) under plant metagenome. Its description in RNAcentral is "partial contains small subunit ribosomal RNA, internal transcribed spacer 1, and 5.8S ribosomal RNA". The record is from RNAcentral.
UUUCCGUAGGUGAACCUGCGGAAGGAUCAUUAUUGUAUAACCGAGGUGCGAGGGCUGUCGCUGACCCGAAAGGUCGUGCACGCCCGAGUGCCCUCACACACAUCCAUCUCACCCCUAUGUGCACCACCGCGUGGGUCGCCCUUUGGCUUGUUCGGAGGGGGGCUUACGUUUUCACACAAACUUUGUAUGCAGUGUAGAAUGUAUUUUUUGUUUUUGCGAUCACGCAAUCAAUACAACUUUCAACAACGGAUCUCUUGGCUCUC